UAUACCGKGAAACUGCRAAUGGCUCAUUAAAUCAGUUAUCGUUUAUUUGAUAGUACCUACUUACUUGGAUAACCGUGGUAAUUCUAGAGCUAAUACAUGCUAAAAACCUCGACUUCGGAAGGGGUGUAUUUAUUARAUAAAAAACCAAUGCCCUCCGGGGCUCCCUGGUGAUUCAUAAUAACUAAACGAAUCGCAUGGCCUUGCGCCGGCRAUGGUUCAUUCAAAUUUCUGCCCUAUCAACUUUCGAUGGUAGGAUAGKGGCCUACCWUGGKGGCAACGGGUAACGGGGAAUUAGGGUUCUAUUCCGGARAGGGAGCCUGARAAACGGCUACCACAUCCAAGGAAGGCAGCAGGCGCGCAAAUUACCCAAUCCCGACACGGGGAGGUAGUGACAAUAAAUACUGAUGUGGAGCUCUUUAGGGUUUCACAAUUGGAAUGAGAAAAAUCUAAACCACUUAAACRAGGAACAAUUGGAGGGCAAGUCUGGUGCCAGCAGCCGCGGUAAUUCCAGCUCCAAUAGCGUAUAUUAAAGUUGUUGCAGUUAAAAAGCUCGUAGUUGAACCUUGGGCCUGGCCGGCCGGUCCGCCUCACCGCGUGCACUGGUUCGGCCGGGCCUUUCCUCCUGGGGAACCGCAUGCCCUUCACUGGGUGUGCCGGGGAAUCAGGACUUUUACUUUGAAAAAAUUAGAGUGUUCAAAGCAGGCAUUUGCUCGAAUACAUUAGCAUGAAAUAAUAGAAUAGGACGUUGUGGUUCUAUUUUGUUGGUUUCUAGGACCGCCGUAAUGAUAAAUAGGGA
Molecule: ribosomal RNA, 796 nt
Filed under: Placopsis sp. Spribille 01 Sep 2014
Lineage: Eukaryota; Fungi; Ascomycota; Lecanoromycetes; Trapeliales; Trapeliaceae
Description: SSU rRNA
Rfam family: Eukaryotic small subunit ribosomal RNA
Source: RNAcentral